UAAAAAGUUCAAUUUCCUUUUCACUACGCCUGGUCAAGACUCUAGAUAAUUACCUUAUCCAGUUUGCCGGGUUUGAUACUACUACCUUGCCCUGCAAGAAACAUCAUAUGGAUUUAAGGCAAACCAAACUUAGUAAAGACAAAUUGUAAUCUUUAGGUUUUACCUGGAUAAUCAUAUAGAAGGACCAACAACAUUAGCCCUCCUCUAAGAAUAUCUUCAUCAUGUCUGUGAAUCUUAUUGGAGUGCAACAAGUUGGUCCAGGGCAACAAAAUCAAAUUGCCACUCAAAAACGAUAUCAUCAUUGCUCUCUAAAAAUUUGAAAAAAGAGUUUUAUCUAUUGUGUUUUACAUGUUAGUAUAAAUUAAUUCGGUCGUACAUUGGACCCUUCUUUUGUGCCAUCCACCCAACGAUAUAAACAGUUGUUGCAGAGAAAUAUCCAUGUACAAUGGAGAAUGAGUUUCAAUACAAAUUGUAUGACUGAGCCAAAACACUUCUUGAUUCAAUUCAACUUACCUCAUAAAAAGACGCUAGCAGUGUUACAUCACGAUAAUUUUUCCAGGCUUUAUGGUCAUUUCUCUCCCAUAUUAGUGCAGUGAUCGUUGAUCCAGUCGCCCUGAUGCACUACUUAUAUGGAUAAAAAGCCAAGCCAAACUAAGUAAAAUUAUUAAAGAAACAUUAUGAUCUACAAGUUUUUUACCAGAAGAAUAGCAUAGAAGCUCCAACUCAAGCAGCUGGACACAAGCACUAGCCCUCCUCUUAGGAUGUCUUCAUCAUGCUUGUGAAUCUUCUUGGCGUGCAGUGACCUGGUCUACGGCAACUGAAUCACUUGGUAGUCAUUUGAGGUCUUGUAUUCCUAUAGUUUUGAAGUUAUUACGAGCGCAAGAAACAAAACAAAAUAAAAAAAAAACAUAGAAACAAACAAUAAGGUAUGGUAGUCGUACCUUUCAAAUACAAGAGAAAGGGAUGAUAGUAUUGUAGCUGCGAUAACUAGACGCUCAGCAAACAAGAUUCUCGGAGAAAUCUCCGUUAUCUAGAACAUAUUUUGCAAUGAUUGACAUUAUCGAUAAGCCAAUCUGAACUGAAACAACGGUAACUACCAAUAGGACGUUAUCCAUGGCGUCUUCUUAAAAAAAAAGUUAUAACAAACAUGAGCAAACAAUAAACAAAACAUAAGCAAAAUAUAAGUACAUAUAAUACUU
This 1199-nucleotide small RNA is filed under the name Arabidopsis thaliana (thale cress). RNAcentral describes it as "ATSL228640". The record is from RNAcentral. Lineage: Eukaryota; Viridiplantae; Streptophyta; Magnoliopsida; Brassicales; Brassicaceae.